This 254-nucleotide ribosomal RNA is filed under the name uncultured bacterium. RNAcentral's name for it is "partial 16S ribosomal RNA". It matches the Rfam family "Bacterial small subunit ribosomal RNA", at positions 524 to 776 of the family's 1533-position model. The record is from RNAcentral.
UACGGGGGGGGCAAGCGUUGUUCGGAAUUACUGGGCGUAAAGGGCGCGUAGGCGGCCUCCGCAAGUCGACUGUGAAAUCUCUGGGCUUAACCCAGAACGGUCAGCCGAUACUGCGGGGCUAGAGUGCAGAAGGGGCAACUGGAAUUCUCGGUGUAGCGGUGAAAUGCGUAGAUAUCGAGAGGAACACCUGCGGCGAAGGCGGGUUGCUGGGCUGACACUGACGCUGAGGCGCGAAAGCUAGGGGGGCGAACGGG